Dama dama (fallow deer) is the source of this 752-nucleotide long non-coding RNA. RefSeq lists it as uncharacterized. The transcript has 3 exons. The record is from RefSeq and is a predicted model, not a curated record. NCBI's taxonomy places the organism in Eukaryota, Metazoa, Chordata, Mammalia, Artiodactyla, Cervidae.
CCUUGAGACAACGGGGAAGUGGACACCCAGAAGGGCGUGGAGGAGGGCAGUCACGGCCUGAGCCGCAUGCUGGCUCCUCCUUCCCACCCAUCCAGCAAGGCUCCAGCCUGACGAGAUGGAAUCCAAGUCUCCAGAAGAAGCCGACGCCAGGCAAGGGAGCACUUCCCCCGUGGACUCAGUGCCCGCUGCCCUGGCCCAGGGGAAAAGCAUCCGAAAGACCAAGGGUACCGAGUGUGAAGAUACUCCAGAACGUCCCCUUAACUCCCGCACUCCAGCCAGGAAGCCUCUGUGAAGUCUGCCCAACCCACGGCUUCUCCUGGACCUUGGACCAGUCAUUGAAUAGAAUUUAGCAGAGAAGUGCCAAGUCCAAGACAGAGGCUGGAGAGUGGCUCAGGUGGCUUCAGACAGACCCAUCUCCCACCCACAGCCCAAGGAUGCGGAGGCCACACCAUCCGCAGCACCCUGGGCUUCUGCAGUGUGAGAGCUCAGUGCCUCUUGGGUGACUUUCAAGACCCUGGCCUGGCGUUUCAAGGCCCUCUAGGAGAACUGGCCUGACCUUGCACCAUUUCCCCAUGUAUCACCAUCCUUCAUGCUUCAUCCCCUACUGCUCCCAUCUGAAGGGCCUUCCCUGCUGGGUGACUCCUACCUGUGCUUCAGUGCCCAGUCACACCUCUUCCAGGAAGCCCUCCUGGCCGCCUCAGUGAUCACUUCUGCAAAUGAUAGAACACCUGGUGCCUGCGUCACUCUGGACC